UAAAAAUCAAUGACAAAGAGAGUAGUUUUUUGUAACGGCAAAGCGAGUCAGGGAUGGUGGAAGCCUGAUCACGGAGCAAAAAGUGAACCGCACUUUGGAGAUGCUUUCCUGAAUACACGUCUUAGGGGAAGUCGGGGUGAACCCCGUUAUCAAAUAGAGUGGUUUUUAUAAAACAAGUAGAGUGGUACCGCGGGUUAAUAGGAAUCCCGUCUCUUUU
RNAcentral lists this non-coding RNA (217 nucleotides) under Bacillus sp. (in: firmicutes). Its description in RNAcentral is "Bacillus sp. T-box sequence". It matches the Rfam family "T-box leader". Rfam says of the family: Uncharged tRNA acts as the effector for transcription antitermination of genes in the T-box leader family. T-boxes are found upstream of many aminoacyl-tRNA synthetase genes and some amino acid biosynthetic genes usually in Gram-positive bacteria. Lineage: Bacteria; Bacillati; Bacillota; Bacilli; Caryophanales; Bacillaceae. The record is from RNAcentral.